UCGGGACAUCGCGGCAGUUGUCACGAGCUCGAAAAGAGUAUCGGGUCAUGACAUAUCUAGCCAAAAUUUCAUUGCAGCGAGAAUGCCUUUUCGUUGUGGUGAGAGUUAAUUUAUUAUGCUUGACUUGCUUGAAUUCUACUAAAGUUUUCACUUCUCAACUUCUUUGCUGUUCAUGAGUCUUUCGUCAUCAAGUGACUAAACGACCAAGGGCUUGAAUGAGGGGUUUUUAAAUAGAAAUAAACUAAAUUGUAUUGUUUUGAACUUAAGUGUGUCAUCAUUUUUAAACCUUCCUUAAUGUUGGUUGUUCCCUUCCUAUGUUCAUUUACUGAGUUUGUACUCACGUUUUUAAAUUUCAUGUUUAGGUUUUCCUGAGUUAAAGGUGAUUGGAUCUUAGGACGAGGUGCUCCUUCCUAUACAUUGCUCGGUAGGUUUAACGUGACACUAAGUGUUAUCAAUCGUGCCCAGAGUCACUCCGCUGACGAUCAAGGUCUAAUUAUAUGUAUAUG
Molecule: long non-coding RNA, 506 nt
Filed under: Theobroma cacao (cacao)
Lineage: Eukaryota; Viridiplantae; Streptophyta; Magnoliopsida; Malvales; Malvaceae
Description: long non-coding RNA (TCAC_LNC001108)
Source: RNAcentral